This is a non-coding RNA of Bemisia tabaci, 725 nucleotides long. The record is from RefSeq and is a predicted model, not a curated record. Lineage: Eukaryota; Metazoa; Arthropoda; Insecta; Hemiptera; Aleyrodidae.
AGUAGCAAAGGUCGACAUCGGCAAUGGUCGAUUCGUGGCGAACGGUCAGAGGUCGAUUCGCGAACGGUCAUACGUCGAUGCCCGAACGCACCGAACCAAUCGAACCUAGUUCACCAUUGUGCAUUUUAUUUUACUUUUCAUUUUAUCGUUUGUUGCAAAUGGAGCAUUAUGUAUAGGCUGCUUGUCUUUGCCGUGGACGACACUAAAGACCUCUAAGUUUAAGUAGCUCUCCUAGCAGAACGAGAGCGAUAAUGGAUCAGGAAAUUCCAUCAAUGCACCCUGUCUCUCUUUAGUAGGGAGCCGAGGCACCCUUCUAUGACUCAGUCUUGUCACGUUACAGUAUGAGGAACUGCGCAAAAGCAGAUUGAAGCAAAGGAAACUGUGUCGGUAGUAAAUUCUAGGUAUCCUACAUGAAUGUAUUUAUUUCCAAGUAACUCCUGUGGGUAACAAAACGUUGGCUUCCACAUCAAGAAUAAAGUUGUCAAAGUAGAGGCUUGAAAGCAACUUACAAUGAAGUAGAUGUAAAGACCUGUGAUAUUAAAGCGUAUUAAAGGUCAUAAGGAACUUUACCAUCAAAGAAAUCUUCAGUCAUGGCGACUAUGACCAUGGAGCAGAGACGUUUCCCUCGCUGUAUGAGAAAAUCUGCCAUUAAAGUUUUUCAAGAACAAGAAAAGCUACAGUUUCAUCUGCAUUUUUCAUCAACUUGGUUCUCAAGAAACCUUCAA